Molecule: small RNA, 800 nt
Filed under: Pan troglodytes (chimpanzee)
Lineage: Eukaryota; Metazoa; Chordata; Mammalia; Primates; Hominidae
Description: processed transcript
Source: RNAcentral
AAAAAACUCAAAAGAGAGGCAAAAGAAAACACAGCUACUCUUAAAGAAAAAAAAGACAAGAAAACACAAACAUCUUUAUUGGAAACACCUGAAAUUUAUUGGAAAUUGGAUUCUAAAGCAGUUCCUUCACAAACUGUAUCUCGAAAUUUCACAUCAGUUGAUCAUGGCAUAUCCAAAGAUAAAAGAGACUAUCUGUGGACAUCUGCCAAAAAUACUUUAUCUACACCAUUGCCAAAGAGCAUGGUUUCAGAAGAAGAGACGUUGAAAACACUGUAUAGGAACAAUAAUCCACCAGCUUCUCAUCUUUGUGUCAAAACACCAAAAAAGGCCCCUUCAUCUCUAACAACCCCUGGAUCUACACUGAAGUUUGGAGCUAUAAGAAAAAUGCGGGAGGACCGUUGGGCUGUAAUUGCUAAAAUGGAUAGGAAAAAAAAACUAAAAGAAGCUGAAAAGUUAUUUGUUUAAUUUCAGAGAAUCAGUGUAGUCAAGGAGCCUAAUAACAUGAAACUUAUAGUUAAUAUUUUGUUCUUAUUUGCCAGAGCCAAAUUUUAUCUGGAAGUUGAGACUUAAAAAAUACGUGCAUCAGUGAUUUGUGUUUCUUUAUAUUUUUAGCCUAAAUGUUAACUACAUAUUGUCUGGAAACCUGUCAUUGUAUUCAGAUAAUUAGAUGAUUAUAUAUUGUUGUUACUUUUUCUUGUAUUCAUGAAAACUGUUUUUACUAAGUUUUCAAAUUUGUAAAGUUAGCCUUUGAAUGCUAGGAAUGCAUUAUUGAGGGUCAUUCUUUAUUCUUUACUAUUAAA